RNAcentral lists this ribosomal RNA (253 nucleotides) under uncultured bacterium. Its description in RNAcentral is "partial 16S ribosomal RNA". It matches the Rfam family "Bacterial small subunit ribosomal RNA", at positions 524 to 776 of the family's 1533-position model. The record is from RNAcentral.
UACGAAGGGGGCUAGCGUUGCUCGGAAUCACUGGGCGUACAGCGCACGUAUGCGGCUUACUAAGUCAGGGGUGAAAUCCUGGAGCUCAACUCCAGAACUGCCUUUGAUACUGGUGAGCUUGAGUCCGGAAGAGGUGAGUGGAACUGCGAGUGUAGAGGUGAAAUUCGUAGAUAUUCGCAAGAACACCAGUGGCGAAGGCGGCUCACUGGUCCGGUACUGACGCUGAGGUGCGAAAGCGUGGGGAGCAAACAGG